UCCCUUCCAAACAGUAAAGUUCCUCUUUGUCUCUCAGUAGGAAAUUUAAACCAGACAGUACAAGGCUACAUUUCAGUGUUACAAGCCAAUCAGUUUGCUAAUUGUUCUGUGAGAUUUGUUUGCAAAGUUUAAGGUGUUAAGUAGGACUGUGAACAUCUGGGUCUGCUUGCUGCUGGCAUUCUGCCAGAGCCCCAGCAACAAGACCGCCUCCCAGCAACGAGACUGCCUGUCAGCCUUGCAAGCGUCUCAGCAACAACACUGCCUCCCAGCUUUGCAAGAUGCCGAGAAAAAAUAAAAGAUCCCAGGCACAAAAGAAGCGCUGGAAACCACUUGACCUGGUCGAUCCUGCUGUCCCAGUGCUCUCUGGCCACAACCAAGAUGAGGCAGUCAGUAGUUUUCCAUCUGACCAGACGGCACCAGCCGGGUUAUCUUUGGAAACACAGGAUGGACCCACCUCC
Long non-coding RNA from Oreochromis aureus, 458 nucleotides. RefSeq lists it as uncharacterized. Lineage: Eukaryota; Metazoa; Chordata; Actinopteri; Cichliformes; Cichlidae. The record is from RefSeq and is a predicted model, not a curated record. The transcript is spliced from 4 exons.